UUUAGCCAUUUGAUUAAAUAAUGAGCACAAUCUUAUCAUGCUCUCUCAAUAGUUAAUUUUUUCCUCACUAUUUUCUCCAACCGUUCUCUCUCCUCAAUGUCUCUCUCACAAACCCUUUAGCCAUUAAAUAAUCUAAAACUAAAACAGAACUAAACGAAAAUUAAACAUUCAAUCCUAGAUUAAUUUUCUUUUGAAAACCAUUAAAUUUUAG
RNAcentral lists this long non-coding RNA (211 nucleotides) under Medicago truncatula (barrel medic). Its description in RNAcentral is "long non-coding RNA (MTRU_LNC007240)". Lineage: Eukaryota; Viridiplantae; Streptophyta; Magnoliopsida; Fabales; Fabaceae. The record is from RNAcentral.